AAGAGCUAACUACAAAUGCAAGAAAAUAGCCAAAGGAAUACAAAAAAAGCCAGCUGAAAACAAAAACGGCAACACGAAAGCAAAAGACCAUUAAAAAAGAGAAAAUAGAUUCGGAGGUAGCGCUACGCUAAUGUCAAUCCGAUCCAUUGAAACACUUUCUACCAAAUUUUGGAAGUAAAAUCGCAAUGGAGAAGCCGAUUUAGUAUAAUUAGAGUUAAAUGCAAAUAAGCCGAUUUAACUGAGAACAAACCACUAUCUUUUAAGCUCCAAACCCACACAUAUAUCUUCAUCGGAGGAUAAAUCUUCCAGCAUUGUUGCUUCGCGCUCAAAAAAAUCUCCGACUCCAAAAAAACGACCUCCUCCAGCUAGCUCUUGCCCUCUCACACUCUCAUAUCACUUACCUAGCUUAAUUUUUGUUUUGAAAUUAUAAAUAACCGACGAAAACUCUCACAAAAAGGACAACUCCCCACCCUCCAUUGAAUCUAGCUAAAACUAAAACUAAAAUUGUUAUUUGAUACAAUGAUAGUAUGCAGAGAGAAUAAGAAGCGGCAGAUAAAAAUAAGAAUUUUAGUACUAUAAUGUUUUUGUUGGGUUUAAUGGACCGGUAACAUAAAAAUUGAGCCUCAAUUUUGAACUUUUUAAGUU
This 645-nucleotide long non-coding RNA is filed under the name Trifolium pratense (red clover). RNAcentral describes it as "long non-coding RNA (TPRA_LNC012219)". Lineage: Eukaryota; Viridiplantae; Streptophyta; Magnoliopsida; Fabales; Fabaceae. The record is from RNAcentral.